AAGGUUUCCGGGACAGAGUGUCCUGGGACGGAGACACCGGGCGGUUCACCAUAAGAAGACUGCAGAGCAACGAUUCAGGGAUUAAAUUCUGUUAAUCAAGGAGGAAAAUCUGAAUCAUUCAAGCUGAGUGUUUAUGAUGCCGUCCUGGAGCCCGGUGUCACCGUAACGUCUGUGAGCAGCGAGGGCUGCACCCUGCUGUGUGCUGUGGACCAACUGAGUGGAGGGACUCUCUCCUGGUAUCAAGGAGAGGUCCUGGUGAACCAGAGCAGCACCCAGCGCUCUCUCCCUCUGACCGUGGACAGGCUGGGUCUCCGGUCCUCCUACCGCUGUGUGUCUGCCAACCCUGCUGGUAACCUCACCCGGUCAGUCGACGCUAAGACGUCCUGCCCAGUAGAACAGCUCACUGGUGAUGAAGAGGAACCCAUAUGGCUGUUCCGGGUUGUGAUUCCGAUCGUCUGUGGUGUUACAUUCAUCCUAUUCUUAUCUGUCAUCAUAUUCUAUGUUGAAAGACAUCUCCAAG
This is a long non-coding RNA of Gadus morhua (Atlantic cod), 520 nucleotides long. RefSeq lists it as uncharacterized. The record is from RefSeq and is a predicted model, not a curated record. The transcript is spliced from 3 exons. Lineage: Eukaryota; Metazoa; Chordata; Actinopteri; Gadiformes; Gadidae.